This is a long non-coding RNA of Ornithodoros turicata, 1306 nucleotides long. RefSeq lists it as uncharacterized. The transcript has 4 exons. The record is from RefSeq and is a predicted model, not a curated record. NCBI's taxonomy places the organism in Eukaryota, Metazoa, Arthropoda, Arachnida, Ixodida, Argasidae.
CUAGUCUACCGUUCAGAAUGACGUCUCUGUAAAGAAGUACUCAUACCUCGCACGUCUAGAAUCGUAUGGAAAUCGCGUGAAGCAGUAUGCUGUGCGCCACACCAGGCCCAUACAUGAGAGGUACGCGUCGUUGGCUAGCAGAAAAUCAUCGUUCGACAUUUAUCCUACAACUGCAAAGGGAAACACAGAAAAAAUGGCGAAAGCUGGAUUCUUCUACACUGGUGCUCAAGAUCGCACAACCUGCUUUCAGUGCGGCAACUCCCUUUGCAGUUGGAGCGAUGAGGAGCGACCCAUUAUCUGAACACGCCAGGUGGUACAGAGACUGUCCUUACGUCAUUCUGCAGCUUGGUGAUGAGGCUAUCGAGAACAUUAGACGGGAACACAACAAUACACUCGCAGAGAGAAGCCUUGCAGAAAAGAACAAGUCUGACAAAGCAACAGAGUUCUUGGUAGUGAACCUAAAAUCAUCAUACCUUGUCCGUCGUCUGACUCUACAGGGCAUCAAACCGGACAUCGUGGAGUUAGCGAUACGCGCAAGACUUAACAGCACGGGUUGGUAGACGUGCUCGACGAGCAAGACCUACGCAGGGCGCUAUGUGAAGUCGUAUCUUUACCAGAAAACGUGAGAACAAGGGAAGUUCCAAAAGCUGAUACAGGUGACUUGAUCAAGUGCAUCAUCUGCAAGACGGGAGACAGACACAUCAUCUUCCUUCCAUGCAGUCAUCUUGUCUCCUGCAGUGGAUGUGCCGCGUCCUGCACCGUCUGUCCCUCAUGCGAGCGCAAGAUCGCAACCACGAGGGAGGUUUUCUUGGCCUGAAAACAUGGGAAAGCGAUUGAUAUGCAAAAGGCCAGGACUGGCUCUCACGCAGCGUUACACCUCUCAACCACCGCCGCACGCCGGGGAUAUCCUGAAAUUGCGGGAACACAUCGAGAAAGCUGACAGAGCUAUUAGACAGGUUUAAACUGUGACGUGCGACUGGCAACGCGAACGGUGGAUGAAGAACGUUCCCCGUUGAACUGCCACUAAAUACCAGAAAACAAGGUACGACGACGGCAGGGCACACCCGCGUGCACCUCUGAUAGGUCGGGUAGCUGACGACGUGCGAAGUGUACGUAGCGAGAGGUGUUGAGCACAGGGUACGCCCCACUGGACGUCGACUGCCUCACGACGUAAAGCCACGAAUCAUUAUAAAUAUUUUUAUUAUUGCAAUUAUUAUGAAUUAGAGAGCACGACAUGCCGGCGCGGGUAGGCUUGUAUAGAGUAAGACCCUGCAUACAGAGCGUCCCAGCUAAAUGCGAACGUAUU